AAGUAGGGCGGGACACGAGAAAUCCUGUCUGAAGAUGGGGGGACCAUCCUCCAAGGCUAAAUACUCAUCAUCGACCGAUAGUGAACCAGUACCGUGAGGGAAAGGCGAAAAGAACCCCGGGAGGGGAGUGAAAUAGAACCUGAAACCUGAUGCAUACAAACAGUGGGAGCGGAGAAAUCCGUGACUGCGUACCUUUUGUAUAAUGGGUCAACGACUUACAUUCAGUAGCGAGCUUAACCGAUUAGGGGAGGCGUAGGGAAACCGAGUCUUAAUAGGGCGUUGAGUUGCUGGGUGUAGACCCGAAACCGAGUGAUCUAUCCAUGGCCAGGUUGAAGGUGCCGUAACAGGUACUGGAGGACCGAACCCACGCAUGUUGCAAAAUGCGGGGAUGAGCUGUGGAUAGGGGUGAAAGGCUAAACAAACUCGGAGAUAGCUGGUUCUCCCCGAAAACUAUUUAGGUAGUGCCUCGAGCAAGACACUGAUGGGGGUAAAGCACUGUUAUGGCUAGGGGGUCAUUGCGACUUACCAACCCAUGGCAAACUAAGAAUACCAUCAAGUGGUUCCUCGGGAGACAGACAUCGGGUGCUAACGUCCGGUGUCAAGAGGGAAACAACCCAGACCGCCAGCUAAGGUCCCAAAUGACAGAUUAAGUGGUAAACGAAGUGGGAAGGCCCAGACAGCCAGGAUGUUGGCUUAGAAGCAGCCAUCAUUUAAAGAAAGCGUAAUAGCUCACUGGUCGAGUCGUCCUGCGCGGAAGAUGUAACGGGGCUCAAAUCUGUAACCGAAGCUGCGGAUGCCAGUUAACUGGCAUGGUAGGGGAGCGUUCUGUAGGCCGAAGAAGGUGUGUUGAGAAGCAUGCUGGAGGUAUCAGAAGUGCGAAUGUUGACAUGAGUAGCGAUAAACAGGGUGAAAAGCCCUGUCGCCGAAAACCCAAGGUUUCCUACGCAACGUUCAUCGGCGUAGGGUGAGUCGGCCCCUAAGGCAAGGCAGAGAUGCGUAGUCGAUGGGAAACAGGUUAAUAUUCCUGUACUUGAUUCAAAUGCGAUGUGGGGACGGAGAAGGUUAGGUCAUCGAUCUGUUGGAAUAGAUCGUUUAAGCCGGUAGGUGGAGCACUUAGGCAAAUCCGGGUGCUCAACACCGAGAAGUGAUGACGAGUGUCUACGGACAUGAAGUGACUGAUACCACGCUUCCAGGAAAAGCCACUAAGCUUCAGUUUGAAUGAAACCGUACCGCAAACCGACACAGGUGGGUAGGAUGAGAAUUCUAAGGCGCUUGAGAGAACUCAGGAGAAGGAACUCGGCAAAUUGAUACCGUAACUUCGGGAGAAGGUAUGCCUCUUAUGGUGAAGGAUUUACUCCGUAAGCUAUGAGAGGUCGCAGAGAAUAGGUGGCUGCGACUGUUUAAUAAAAACACAGCACUCUGCAAACACGAAAGUGGACGUAUAGGGUGUGACGCCUGCCCGGUGCUGGAAGGUUAAUUGAAGAUGUGCAAGCAUCGGAUCGAAGCCCCAGUAAACGGCGGCCGUAACUAUAACGGUCCUAAGGUAGCGAAAUUCCUUGUCGGGUAAGUUCCGACCCGCACGAAUGGCGUAACGAUGGCCACACUGUCUCCUCCUGAGACUCAGCGAAGUUGAAAUGGUUGUGAAGAUGCAAUCUCCCCGCUGCUAGACGGAAAGA
RNAcentral lists this ribosomal RNA (1676 nucleotides) under Snodgrassella alvi. RNAcentral's name for it is "bacterial LSU rRNA". It matches the Rfam family "Bacterial large subunit ribosomal RNA", at positions 410 to 2088 of the family's 2925-position model. The record is from RNAcentral. Lineage: Bacteria; Pseudomonadati; Pseudomonadota; Betaproteobacteria; Neisseriales; Neisseriaceae.